This 303-nucleotide ribosomal RNA is filed under the name uncultured bacterium. RNAcentral's name for it is "partial 16S ribosomal RNA". It matches the Rfam family "Bacterial small subunit ribosomal RNA", at positions 507 to 807 of the family's 1533-position model. The record is from RNAcentral.
AGCAGCAGCCACGGUAAUACAGAGGGUGCGAGCGUUAAUCGGAUUUACUGGGCGUAAAGCGUGCGUAGGCGGCUUCUUAAGUCGGAUGUGAAAUCCCUGAGCUUAACUUAGGAAUUGCAUUCGAUACUGGGAAGCUAGAGUAUGGGAGAGGAUGGUAGAAUUCCAGGUGUAGCGGUGAAAUGCGUAGAGAUCUGGAGGAAUACCGAUGGCGAAGGCAGCCAUCUGGCCUAAUACUGACGCUGAGGUACGAAAGCAUGGGGAGCAAACAGGAUUAGAUACCCCUGUAGUCCCUGUCUCUUAUAC